This 1192-nucleotide long non-coding RNA is filed under the name Equus caballus (horse). RNAcentral's name for it is "lncRNA (ENSECAG00000028655.3)". The record is from RNAcentral. Lineage: Eukaryota; Metazoa; Chordata; Mammalia; Perissodactyla; Equidae.
AGCUCCCUCCUCUCUGCAAGUGUCUCAAGGCCAAAGACAGACUGGUGGGAAAGUUCCGACCAGCAAAGCCAUAUGCUCCCCCUCCCCUACCUAAAACCCCAAAUAAAAACACUUCCUUUUAGCUUUUUCGGGGAGUUUGGGAUUUCAGCGUUAGCUGCCCUCUCUCCUUGCUCAGCGCUGUGCAAAAAUAAAGUUCCUACUUUCUUCCACCACCCCUGGUGUCAGAGAUUGGCUUGCUGUGCAACGGAGUAAAAAUCUGAACACUUGAAUUUUCUUGGGUGCCCAUGGAACAGCCUUUCUCUUGAGAUUCAGUGCCUACCUUCUGCCUUGAACUGCAGCUAAAGGGGAUUCUUCUGACUGUGGGGUAAAACAACAGUGUUCACUUGAGAAGACCUGUAAAGAGAGAGGCGCUGUCUCUGUUCUUCUACCUGGGACAGCAGUUCCAACCUGGAGAGCUCUCUGAUAGUGUACUCCACACCGACACCUCAGGGCACUUGGACAGAUCAAAGAGACAGUGCGCUUGCCAUGAAUUCCAGCCUCCUCAGCAUGACUAUAGCUGCAGAGGUAUUGAUCCCUAGGCACUCCCUAACAAACGUCCAUCUCAGAGUCUGCUUAAUACAGAACCCAACCUGGGAAACUCCGAAUUGACUUGCAGCCUGCAGAGGAGAAGACAGAAGAGGUCACCCAUGGAAGAGAAAAGGAACAUGGAGAAGAGAGCGAAAAGAAGACUUAUUCAGGGGAGCCGUGGAAAAAGAAGUGAAUUACCAUUCCAGGAUUGGUGACAUGUUUAGCCCCCAGAGCAGUAUUGUCCAAUAGCAACAUACUGUGAGCCACAAAUACAAGCUCUCCAAGGGAUUUUAAAUUUUCUAGUAGGCACAUUAAAAAAGUAAGAAGAAACCCAUUAUAUUCAACGUGUUUUCAUUUUAAUAUGCAAUCAAUACAACCCUUUUUAAUGACAAAUUUUACAUCAUUUUUUUUUCUGUGCUAAAUACUUGGAAUUUGGUGUGCAUUUUAUAUUUGCAGCACAUCUCAGUUGGGUUUAGCCACAUUUCAAGUGCUCAAAGGCCACAAAUGACUAGUGGCUGCUGUACUGGACAACGUAACUCUAAGAGACUCCACUUCUCUUUUUAUUCAGUUUUUUGGGAGAUAAAUAAAUUCCUCAGAAAAAGCAGUGAGGGUUGAUAAAGGAUGC